GCCAACUUAGCUCAGUUGGUAGAGCAGCUGAUUCGUAAUCAGCAGGUCACGAGUUCGAGUCUCGUAGUUGGCUC
This 74-nucleotide transfer RNA is filed under the name compost metagenome. Its description in RNAcentral is "tRNA-Thr". It matches the Rfam family "tRNA". Rfam says of the family: Transfer RNA (tRNA) molecules are approximately 80 nucleotides in length. Their secondary structure includes four short double-helical elements and three loops (D, anti-codon, and T loops). The record is from RNAcentral.